GAUGAACGCUGACAGAAUGCUUAACACAUGCAAGUCAACUUGAAUUUGGGUUUUUAACUUAAGUUUGGGUGGCGGACGGGUGAGUAACGCGUAAAGAACUUGCCUCACAGCUAGGGACAACAUUUGGAAACGAAUGCUAAUACCUAAUAUUAUGAUAAUAGGGCAUCCUAUAAUUAUGAAAGCUAUAAGCGCUGUGAGAGAGCUUUGCGUCCCAUUAGCUAGUUGGAGAGGUAACGGCUCACCAAGGCGAUGAUGGGUAGCCGGCCUGAGAGGGUGAUCGGCCACAAGGGGACUGAGACACGGCCCUUACUCCUACGGGAGGCAGCAGUGGGGAAUAUUGGACAAUGGACCAAGAGUCUGAUCCAGCAAUUCUGUGUGCACGAUGAAGUUUUUCUGAAUGUAAAGUGCUUUCAGUUGGGAAGAAAGAAAUGACGGUACCAACAGAAGAAGUGACGGCUAAAUACGUGCCAGCAGCCGCGGUAAUACGUAUGUCACGAGCGUUAUCCGGAUUUAUUGGGCGUAAAGCGCGUCUAGGUGGUUAUGUAAGUCUGAUGUGAAAAUGCAGGGCUCAACUCUGUAUUGCGUUGGAAACUGUUUAACUAGAGUACUGGAGAGGUAAGCGGAACUACAAGUGUAGAGGUGAAAUUCGUAGAUAUUUGUAGGAAUGCCGAGUGGUAAGCCAUCUUACUGGACAGAUACUGACGCUGAAUCUCUUAAAGCGUGGUUAGCAAUAUG
Molecule: ribosomal RNA, 735 nt
Filed under: uncultured Fusobacterium sp.
Lineage: Bacteria; Fusobacteriati; Fusobacteriota; Fusobacteriia; Fusobacteriales; Fusobacteriaceae
Description: bacterial SSU rRNA
Rfam family: Bacterial small subunit ribosomal RNA
Source: RNAcentral